GAUGAACGCUGGCGGCGUGCCUAAUACAUGCGAGUCGAGCGAACGGACGAGAAGCUUGCUUCUCUGAUGUUAGCGGCGGACGGGUGAGUAACACGUGGAUAACCUACCUAUAAGACUGGGAUAACUUCGGAAAACCGGAGCUAAUACCGGAUAAUAUUUUGAACCGCAUGGUUCAAAAGUGAAAGACGGUCUUGCUGUCACUUAUAGAUGGAUCCGCGCUGCAUUAGCUAGUUGGUAAGGUAACGGCUUACCAAGGCAACGAUGCAUAGCCGACCUGAGAGGGUGAUCGGCCACACUGGAACUGAGACACGGUCCGGACUCCUACGGGAGGCAGCAGUAGGGAAUCUUCCGCAAUGGGCGAAAGCCUGACGGAGCAACGCCGCGUGAGUGAUGAAGGUCUUCGGAUCGUAAAACUCUGUUAUUAGGGAAGAACAUAUGUGUAAGUAACUGUGCACAUCUUGACGGUACCUAAUCAGAAAGCCACGGCUAACUACGUG
This 497-nucleotide ribosomal RNA is filed under the name uncultured bacterium. RNAcentral's name for it is "partial 16S ribosomal RNA". It matches the Rfam family "Bacterial small subunit ribosomal RNA", at positions 28 to 507 of the family's 1533-position model. The record is from RNAcentral.